GACCUCUUAGCUCAGUGGUAGAGCGUGAGAUUCCAGCUCCUCCUCAAGGUCGUCCGUUCAAUCCGGGCAGGGGUCA
RNAcentral lists this transfer RNA (76 nucleotides) under Rhizoctonia solani. RNAcentral describes it as "tRNA-Trp". It matches the Rfam family "tRNA". Rfam says of the family: Transfer RNA (tRNA) molecules are approximately 80 nucleotides in length. Their secondary structure includes four short double-helical elements and three loops (D, anti-codon, and T loops). The record is from RNAcentral. Lineage: Eukaryota; Fungi; Basidiomycota; Agaricomycetes; Cantharellales; Ceratobasidiaceae.